GCUGGCAUGGCUAACACUCGCCAUACUAAGCAGCUAAAAGCUGUCUAUUUUCAUUCACAAUCACUUUAUCUCAAGAGUCGUCAUCUUGAGACUAUUGCAGCUGUUACUGGUGCAGGAUGUAUGAUCAGUUACUGUGAUAACAGAGUUUGUGUCCCCAAGAAUGAGAGGGAAUGCAGGCUUGUUGAACAACUAUCUUCCCCAACGUAUGAUGAUUUUGCACAUGAACGUAAAGGGUUCCCCGUAACGUCAAUCCCGAGCUAAUAUUGCUCCAUAUUGCGGGGUUGUUCUCUGAAGUCCAGGAAACAUGUCCCUUCAGAGCACCUGCUUUCUCCGAGGAGCUAUCGUUUAAAUUUGAUUUUGGUUUUUUCAUUAUCAGUAGCAAGACAGGAGCAGGGAAUGUCUAUAAAUAGAGCACAAGUGAAUGCAGCCAAUCAACAGCCAAAUCUUCAUAAUCAACAAUUUCCUUUACUCGGGAAUAAUAACUACAGAUACCAACAAUUAAAAUUCAAUUCCAUAUCUUUGGUGCAUCAAACAUGGUAAAGAAAUUGGAUUCAAUACAAGAAAGGGAUAACAG
Molecule: unclassified non-coding RNA, 574 nt
Filed under: Hevea brasiliensis (rubber tree)
Lineage: Eukaryota; Viridiplantae; Streptophyta; Magnoliopsida; Malpighiales; Euphorbiaceae
Source: RNAcentral